GGAGGGGGCGAGCGUUAUUCGGAAUUAUUGGGCGUAAAGGGCGCGUAGGCGGCGCGAUAAGUCAAAGGUGAAAUCCCUCGGCUCAACUGAGGAACUGCCUUUGAGACUGUCGAGCUUGAGGCCGGGAGGGGGUAGCGGAAUUCCCAGUGUAGCGGUGAAAUGCGUAGAUAUUGGGAGGAACACCAGUGGCGAAGGCGGCUACCUGGACCGGUUCUGACGCUGAUGCGCGAAAGCGUGGGUAGCAAACAGGAUUAGAUACCCUGGUAGUCCACGCUGUAAACGAUGGGUGCUCGGUGUCGCGGGUAUCGACCCCUGCGGUGCCUUAGCUAACGCGUUAAGCACCCCGCCUGGGGAGUACGGUCGCAAGGCUG
This 371-nucleotide ribosomal RNA is filed under the name uncultured bacterium. RNAcentral describes it as "bacterial SSU rRNA". It matches the Rfam family "Bacterial small subunit ribosomal RNA", at positions 527 to 896 of the family's 1533-position model. The record is from RNAcentral.